UCUGUCCAGUACAAUUGUUGCUAUCAUCAGCAUCCAUUGGUUCAGUUUUUACUCUCAUCCCUGCUUCUGAAUGGGGCAAAUCAUCAGGCAAAGAAGCCAAGCAAUUCUGAAUCAUCUCAAUGACUCGCUCCAAGUGCUUUUGAAACCGUUCAGCUGUUUCAAGGCGUUGACGUUUCUGCACCUCCAUCAUGACUCUCAAUGUUUCUCUUGCUUGGUGGGGUCGGUAUUCAUUUAUGAGAUGAUGCACAUGCACAAAAAGCAGCUUAAGAUCUUCUAGCUUCUCUUCUCGUUUUAUACUCCCAGGGCUUCUUAUCAAGAUAUCUAAGAGGUCUAAGAAAUUAAUAAGAAUAGACAUAUUGAGUUUUCUCAGUUCUUUCUUGUGAUCAAACUGCAUAGGAUGAAGUCGUUCGAUGCCCUGACUUUCUAAAGGGCGAAUGAUAAGAUCGUCACAUUGGAACUGAUUGCCAAACAUCAUAUAACUGUCUUUUAUUGGAGGUGGAGGCUUGGGAGCUAGGCCUUCCUGAAUAUUUUCAUCUGUAUAUUCCUUGAUGUACUGCAUUGGAGGUGGCGGAAGGGCACUCACUUGUUGUGGCUCACCCAUUGCGGAAGAUCAAAAAUCUAUGGAAAUAAACCAAAAAUUUAGAGUAGAGCUACAAAACAAACCUGUCACAUUGUAUACUACAGAGUAUUUUCCUUUUUUUUCCUUGGCAGUUUGGGGCCCAGGACAAAAUGAUCUCCUUAGUUUCUAGAACAACAGGGUAAGACUGCCAUCUUUUUCUAAUUAGCAUUAUAUCUUCAAUCAUCC
RNAcentral lists this long non-coding RNA (805 nucleotides) under Lynx pardinus (Iberian lynx). The record is from RNAcentral. Lineage: Eukaryota; Metazoa; Chordata; Mammalia; Carnivora; Felidae.